UCAGCUCGGUGUAGUUAAUGGAGCCUUCCUUUUGGUGCCUCGAGGGAAACCAGGUAAGGGUGGUCCUCUUCGCGUCCGAUCCAAAAGAAGCGCCAUCUGAUCAUAUCCAGUCAGUGUGCUUGCCCAGAUUCUCUGGCUCAAAGAACUUGCUGGAGUUCUGCCACUUGGGAAUGCCUGGCUGCAGUCCAACGGAGACUUGGAAGACAUCGAUGAAGAGCAAGCGAUUCUGCAUGAACCUCAUUGCAAAAUCGACUCUUCCGUGGGGAUGAACGUUGUAGGCGAAUCGGAGAUGACUCUGCCUAGAUCCUUCUCAAAAAAAG
RNAcentral lists this long non-coding RNA (320 nucleotides) under Selaginella moellendorffii. Its description in RNAcentral is "long non-coding RNA (SMOE_LNC001265)". The record is from RNAcentral. Lineage: Eukaryota; Viridiplantae; Streptophyta; Lycopodiopsida; Selaginellales; Selaginellaceae.